UAACGUCAGCGGCAGACGGGUGAGUAACGCGUGGGAACAUACCUUUGGUUCGGAACAACACAGGGAAACUUGUGCUAAUACCGGAUAAGCCCUUACGGGGAAAGAUUUAUCGCCGAAAGAUUGGCCCGCGUCUGAUUAGCUAGUUGGUGAGGUAACGGCUCACCAAGGCGACGAUCAGUAGCUGGUCUGAGAGGAUGAUCAGCCACACUGGAACUGAGACACGGUCCAG
This 229-nucleotide ribosomal RNA is filed under the name uncultured bacterium. Its description in RNAcentral is "partial 16S ribosomal RNA". It matches the Rfam family "Bacterial small subunit ribosomal RNA", at positions 87 to 334 of the family's 1533-position model. The record is from RNAcentral.